Molecule: ribosomal RNA, 464 nt
Filed under: uncultured bacterium
Lineage: Bacteria
Description: partial 16S ribosomal RNA
Rfam family: Bacterial small subunit ribosomal RNA
Source: RNAcentral
CUACGGGGGGCAGCAGUGGGGAAUAUUGGACAAUGGGCGCAAGCCUGAUCCAGCAAUACCGCGUGUGUGAAGAAGGCCUGCGGGUUGUAAAGCACUUUCAAUUGUGAAGAAAAGCGAGGGCUUAAUACGCUCUUGUCUUGACGUUAACUUUAGAAGAAGCACCGGCUAACUCUGUGCCAGCAGCCGCGGUAAUACAGAGGGUGCGAGCGUUAAUCGGAAUUACUGGGCGUAAAGCGUACGUAGGCGGUUUAGUAAGUCAGAUGUGAAAGCCCUGGGCUCAACCUGGGAACUGCAUUUGAAACUGCUAGACUAGAGUGUGGUAGAGGGAAGUGGAAUUCCGGGUGUAGCGGUGAAAUGCGUAGAUAUCCGGAGGAACACCAGUGGCGAAGGCGACUUCCUGGACCAACACUGACGCUGAGGUACGAAAGCGUGGGUAGCAAACAGGAUUAGAUACCCUGGUAGUC